CACUCCUGCGGGAGGCAGCAGUGGGGAAUAUUGGACCAUGGGCGCAAGCCUGAUCCAGCCAUGCCGCGUGAGUGAUGAAGGCCCUAGGGUUGUAAAGCUCUUUCACCGGUGAAGAUAAUGACGGUAACCGGAGAAGAAGCCCCGGCUAACUUCGUGCCAGCAGCCGCGGUAAUACGAAGGGGGCUAGCGUUGUUCGGAUUUACUGGGCGUAAAGCGCACGUAGGCGGACUAUUAAGUCAGGGGUGAAAUCCCGGGGCUCAACCCCGGAACUGCCUUUGAUACUGGUAGUCUUGAGUUCGAGAGAGGUGAGUGGAAUUCCGAGUGUAGAGGUGAAAUUCGUAGAUAUUCGGAGGAACACCAGUGGCGAAGGCGGCUCACCGGCUCGAUACUGACGCUGAGGUGCGAAAGCGUGGGGAGCAAACAGGAUUAGAUACCCUUGUAGUCCCAUGAU
RNAcentral lists this ribosomal RNA (451 nucleotides) under uncultured organism. RNAcentral's name for it is "partial 16S ribosomal RNA". It matches the Rfam family "Bacterial small subunit ribosomal RNA", at positions 334 to 801 of the family's 1533-position model. The record is from RNAcentral.